CAGAAUCUCGUCUCCAUACGACGAUGGGUCAACAAAGACUUUCUCCAUGAUCAUGUCCAUCAAAUCAUCAACAUACCCUCCAGCUGCUGUAAGGCUGACACCAGAC
Molecule: long non-coding RNA, 106 nt
Organism: Alosa sapidissima (American shad)
Lineage: Eukaryota; Metazoa; Chordata; Actinopteri; Clupeiformes; Clupeidae
Exons: 4
Source: RefSeq, a predicted model, not a curated record